This 551-nucleotide ribosomal RNA is filed under the name Rhizobium sp. Its description in RNAcentral is "bacterial SSU rRNA". It matches the Rfam family "Bacterial small subunit ribosomal RNA", at positions 120 to 705 of the family's 1533-position model. The record is from RNAcentral. Lineage: Bacteria; Pseudomonadati; Pseudomonadota; Alphaproteobacteria; Hyphomicrobiales; Rhizobiaceae.
GGGAACGUACCCUUUACUACGGAACAACUCCGGGAAACUGGAGCUAAUACCGUAUGUGCCCUUCGGGGGAAAGAUUUAUCGGUAAAGGAUCGGCCCGCGUUGGAUUAGCUAGUUGGGGGGGUAAAGGCCUACCAAGGCGACGAUCCAUAGCUGGUCUGAGAGGAUGAUCAGCCACAUUGGGACUGAGACACGGCCCAAACUCCUACGGGAGGCAGCAGUGGGGAAUAUUGGACAAUGGGCGCAAGCCUGAUCCAGCCAUGCCGCGUGUGUGAUGAAGGCCUUAGGGUUGUAAAGCACUUUCACCGGAGAAGAUAAUGACGGUAUCCGGAGAAGAAGCCCCGGCUAACUUCGUGCCAGCAGCCGCGGUAAUACGAAGGGGGCUAGCGUUGUUCGGAAUUACUGGGCGUAAAGCGCACGUAGGCGGAUAUUUAAGUCAGGGGUGAAAUCCCAGAGCUCAACUCUGGAACUGCCUUUGAUACUGGGUAUCUUGAGUAUGGAAGAGGUAAGUGGAAUUGCGAGUGUAGAGGUGAAAUUCGUAGAUAUUCGCAGGA